Long non-coding RNA from Dermochelys coriacea (leatherback sea turtle), 184 nucleotides. RefSeq lists it as uncharacterized. The record is from RefSeq and is a predicted model, not a curated record. Lineage: Eukaryota; Metazoa; Chordata; Testudines; Dermochelyidae. The transcript is spliced from 3 exons.
UGGGACAUUAUGAAAAACACCAAAUAUAGUGAGAUAUUUUGGAAGCUCUUAACGAGCCAUUUACAAGACACACUGAAAUAACUACUUAGAAUCGUAGGGUCAGAUUAUUCCAUCUGCUGCAUGACUUGGAGGAAUUAAAAGUAACAGCAAUUCUGCUCCAAUUUUCUCAACUCUUCUGGAGCGG